UACGUAGGGACCAAGCGUUGUUCGGAUUUACUGGGCGUAAAGGGCGCGUAGGCGGCGCGGUAAGUCACUUGUGAAAUCUCUGAGCUUAACUCAGAACGGCCAAGUGAUACUGCAGUGCUAGAGUGUGGAAGGGGCAAUCGGAAUUCUUGGUGUAGCGGUGAAAUGCGUAGAUAUCAAGAGGAACACCUGAGGUGAAGACGGGUUGCUGGGCCAACACUGACGCUGAAGUGCGAAAGCUAGGGGAGCGAACGGG
Molecule: ribosomal RNA, 253 nt
Filed under: uncultured bacterium
Lineage: Bacteria
Description: partial 16S ribosomal RNA
Rfam family: Bacterial small subunit ribosomal RNA
Source: RNAcentral